AUAUUUAUAUAGUAAUAAAUACUUGUUUGUUAUAGUUCUUUAUACAAAUAAUUUGAUUUAUAUGAUGUAGAAGAUUAAUUUUAAUAAUUUAAAUAAUAAAGUUUAUAUUAAAGUUCUGGCGAAGCCUGUGCCAGCAGCCGCGGUUACACAGGCAGUGCAAAAGUAUUGUGUUGAUGGUAACAUCAAGAAUAUUAGGUAAGGUAAAUGAAGGUGAAAUUUAUUUAUGUUUAUAAUUGUUAGGAUUAUUGGAGUAGUAUUAAGAAACCAGGAUUAGAUACCCUGUUAUUUAUAUAUAGAUAUAGUGAGUAUAAUUUGAGUUAUAAAGCUAAUUAUUAUGGCGGUGUAUUAAUCUAUUUAGAGGAGUUUAUUCUGUAAUCGAUAUAGCUCGAAAAUCUUACUAAAUUUUGUUAAGCCAGCUUGUAUAUCGCUAUCAUUAAUUUAUGUAAUUAUAUAAUAAAUUAAUUUUAUUUUAUAAAAAAUGUUAGGUCAAGAUGCAGCAUAAAGUUUUGGUUGAAAUAAAUUACUAUAAUUUAUAUUAGUUUAAUUGAAAAUUAAUUAUAGAAUUUAACAGUAAAAUGAAAUUAUAAUGUUCAUUUGAAAUUAGUAAUAAUACAUGUACAUAUUGCCCGUCACUCUCUUAUUGAGAUAAGUCGUAACAAAGUAAGACUACCGGAAGGUGGUUUUAC
Molecule: non-coding RNA, 686 nt
Filed under: Chiropterargas confusus
Lineage: Eukaryota; Metazoa; Arthropoda; Arachnida; Ixodida; Argasidae
Source: RNAcentral